Molecule: ribosomal RNA, 719 nt
Filed under: uncultured Staphylococcus sp.
Lineage: Bacteria; Bacillati; Bacillota; Bacilli; Caryophanales; Staphylococcaceae
Description: bacterial SSU rRNA
Rfam family: Bacterial small subunit ribosomal RNA
Source: RNAcentral
AGUCGAGCGAACGGACGAGAAGCUUGCUUCUCUGAUGUUAGCGGCGGACGGGUGAGUAACACGUGGAUAACCUACCUGUAAGACUGGGAUAACUUCGGGAAACCGGAGCUAAUACCGGAUAAUAUUUUGAACCGCAUGGUUCAAAAGUGAAAGACGGUCUUGCUGUCACUUAUAGAUGGAUCCGCGCUGCAUUAGCUAGUUGGUAAGGUAACGGCUUACCAAGGCAACGAUGCAUAGCCGACCUGAGAGGGUGAUCGGCCACACUGGAACUGAGACACGGUCCAGACUCCUACGGGAGGCAGCAGUAGGGAAUCUUCCGCAAUGUGCGAAAGCCUGACGGAGCAACGCCGCGUGAGUGAUGAAGGUGUUCGGAUCGUAAAACUCUGUUAUUAGGGAAGAACAUAUGUGUAAGUAACUGUGCACAUCUUGACGGUACCUAAUCAGAAAGCCACGGCUAACUACGUGCCAGCAGCCGCGGUAAUACGUAGGUGGCAAGCGUUAUCCGGAAUUAUUGGGCGUAAAGCGCGCGUAGGCGGUUUUUUAAGUCUGAUGUGAAAGCCCACGGCUCAACCGUGGAGGGUCAUUGGAAACUGGAAAACUUGAGUGCAGAAGAGGAAAGUGGAAUUCCAUGUGUAGCGGUGAAAUGCGCAGAGAUAUGGAGGAACACCAGUGGCGAAGGCGACUUUCUGGUCUGUAACUGACGCUGAUGUGCGAAAGCG